CCUACGUGUGGCAGCAGUGAGGAAUAUUGGUCAAUGGGCGCAAGCCUGAACCAGCCAAGUCGCGUGAGGGAUGACGGUCCUAUGGAUUGUAAACCUCUUUUGUCGGGGAGCAAGGCCCGCCACGUGUGGCGGUAAGGAGAGUACCCGAAGAAAACGCAUCGGCUAACUCCGUGCCAGCAGCCGCGGUCAUACGGAGGAUGCGAUCGUUAUCCGGAUUUAUUGGGUUUAAAUGGUGCGUAGGCGGAAGGUUAAGUCAGCGGUAAAAUGUCGGUGCUCAACACCGGCCUGCCGUUGAAACCGGUCUGCUUGAGUGAGCGAGAAGUAUGCGGAAUGCGUGGUGUAGCGGUGAAAUGCAUAGAUAUCACGCAGAACUCCGAUUGCGAAGGCAGCAUACCGGCGCUCAACUGACGCUGAGGCACGAAAGCGUGGGGAUCGAACAGGAUUAGAUACCCUAGUAGUC
Molecule: ribosomal RNA, 460 nt
Filed under: uncultured bacterium
Lineage: Bacteria
Description: partial 16S ribosomal RNA
Rfam family: Bacterial small subunit ribosomal RNA
Source: RNAcentral